This is an RNA transcript of Perca fluviatilis (European perch), 3589 nucleotides long. It is a transcript of the gene named ADP-ribosylation factor-like 15a, with no coding region annotated. The record is from RefSeq and is a predicted model, not a curated record. The transcript is spliced from 9 exons. Lineage: Eukaryota; Metazoa; Chordata; Actinopteri; Perciformes; Percidae.
GCGUGACGUCGCGUUGUAGGCUUCGCUAGUUUCCUCAACCAAACACUCAAUUGAUAUUGUGUGAUAACAACUGGAAGUCAACCGGUGGACGAGGGGCUAGUUAGUCUAAAAAAGCACACGAAACCCGCGGCCCUCCUCGAUACAAACAAACUCAGUCGUUUCUGUGCCGAAACGUGUCUUAUUAGCGAAGAAAACGGCGAAAACCCUUGCUUUUAAACCCACCAAAGGCUGGUUUUUAUUUUGCUUGUUUGCUGAAAGGCGGGGAAUACAAAGCGACUUGUCGUCAAAUCUAUCAUAUUUGGGACUUAUUGAAGCAAAACGGGAUUACUACAAAGCCAGUUCGUGCUGCUGUGACUGGUCAGCGAUAGUACAUGGAUUAUCUGUGUUUCCGGGCACUGUGCUGUAAAGGACCCCCGCCGCCAAGACCAGAGUAUGAUGUGGUGUGCAUUGGCCUGACAGGUGCUGGAAAGACCAGCCUGCUCUCACGCCUCUGUAGUGAGGGCAGCGACGGCAUCGUUCCUACAACAGGUUUCAGCAUCAAAGCGGUGCCAUUUCCAAAUGCUGUCUUGAAUGUGAAAGAACUUGGAGGAGCCGACAAUAUUAAGAAAUAUUGGAGUCGUUACUACCAGGGGUCACAGGGUGUAGUCUUCGUAUUGGACAGCGCCUCAUCGGAUGAGGACCUUGAAGCAGCACGUAACGAGCUCCACUCGGCCCUGCAGCACCCGCAGCUCUGCACCCUGCCUUUUCUCAUCCUCGCCAACCACCAGGACAAGCCUGCUGCAAGGACGCCAAACCAGGUCAAGAAGUACUUUGAGCUGGAGCCACUGGCCAGAGGGAAGCGCUGGAUCCUGGAGGGCAGCACCACCGACAACUUGGAGGCAGUGAAGGAGAGCUUUGGUUCUCUCCAUCUCUCUGUCUUUCUCUUACUCGCUCUGCUUCCCUUUGGUCACGCCAAAGCAGCCCUCCCUCAGCAUGGGCAUCCAGGAGCAGGGAAGAGGCCAGGACCUCAGCGAAGCAGCCCUCCCGGGAGAAAAAAAAGAGAGAGAGAGACAGGGAGACCUCUCCCUCUCUUCCACUCCUCCUCAAUCUCUGUCUGCACAGUUGAUUUUAUUCUGCUGAAAAAGACGCAGUCUACCUUCUCCUCCCACACUGAACCUUUACCUGCUCUACCUGUUUAAUUGCUGGUGUCUGGCUGUUCUGUUAAGAGUUGUUUCUCGUCCUUGUUGGCAGCCGACCUUCAGUGUGGCUUACAGAUAAGAAGCUGCAAAGUUAUAUUAUUGUUGUUGUGUGGUAAUGCAGUCCAGCCUUUUUGAAUCGGCCUGUGCAUUACCAAGCAACAUUAACGGAGACGUGAUGUUUACUGUGAUGGAUACGGUAUCUCAAGUCUCUGCAAGUCGAUUUUUAUAAUUCACUCAAAUUAAUGGUAAUUAAUGGCUGCCUGGAAGGGAGGAAAAACACUAACAAACUAUGGCAAGCCUAAUUGUUGGCAGGCAUAUAAAGUGAAGGUGCGAUUUGUAACAAAAGGGUGAAACAUGCCGAAAUGCCAGAGGGAUGCUUUUAAGAUUUUGCAUGUAAAGAAUGACGCCACACAAAAGCACUUUACCAGAAACAUUUCUCCCAGCAUGCAAAGCUGCAGCCUCCAGCAUAGUUUAUUUAUCAUUUGUCGUUUUGGUUUUGAUUUUCUGACACAAAGAGCUCUGCUGCAUUCAUGCCAUUACUAGUCUUCGUUGCGUUAAUAGCUUGGUUACAGUGUGAACAGUACAAACACAUUACAGUCAGUGAGAUCUCAGGAAAUCUUCCAUCGAGUGUGGAUUGGAUUUUAACAUGGGCUGAAAAUGAACCCUCAUGGUCUUAGAGUGUAGGAAGUAGACCGACCACAGAAUGAAUGAAGCCAUGUAGGUUUUAUAUUCAAUUUUAAGUUUUAAAUAACCUUACAUGUCUUUUUCAGCACAACUUCGUAAACAGUGAAGUGGCUGCCUCAGUGUUUUUACUACUGUUCACUUCUCUUCCCUCAAAUAAUCACAAACGCUUUUUAAACAGGAUAAAGUAAGCAUCGUGUAUUAUCUGCUAUCUGUAUUUCAAGUAGCAUCUGUUGAUCAGUCAAGGUAAAAAACUGAAAAAAGAACAGCAGUGAUUGCCAAUAUCGAUAGAUGUUGCACAGAAGUAAAAUAUCAACAAAACAAAAGUAUCUGCAAUAAUGUAAUUAAAUAUAUUAUGUGACAGAUUUUAGGAAACAGUUCUAAAGUAAAUAUGUGUGCAUCCAAACAGCUGGGGUUUUAGCUGUGCAUACUACAAAUGGGUGAAAUCGCAUGUGCCAGUACUGUGAAUUUGUAUUUCUUUUUACUUGACAAAAAGGUUUAAUCCAACCUUGUGACAGAAUACAGUGAUAAUAUAAAGCAAAGCAUUUUAGAGCAAAGAAUUUAAGUGACAGAGUUUAAAAUUGUAUUGGCCCCUUUGGUUGGGAAGCAUUCAUGUAAAUACGAUUCACUGUAUUUUUAUAUAUUUUGACGUACUAAUAUUAGGGCAGAAAUGUGCCACAUACAUUAUAAAGACCUACCAGAAGUAUAAACAAAUGUAGUCACACACAACAAAAUGAACCCUGUGAGCUUAGUGAAAUGCAAAUGCGCGACCCGACAGGGAACCUAACUUUCGUUUACAAGACAAACAAAAUGCAUGUUUUCUUAAACUCUGCAAAGAAUGCUCUUUUCUCUCUGUCUUCUCCCUUCUCGUGUCCAGUGUGUGUGGCAGCAUUUCUGUUGAUAAGACCCUGCUAGGAGGUGGAACAGAUGUUUCCCUGACAUCCAUCUGGGCCUCGUACCCCUGCUCUUCCUCCCACAGCCAAUGCUCCACUCAGGACACCCCACAUUCCCGGCCCCUUCACAGUGAGAGGGCUGCUCCCCUCCUCGGGAUCCUCGAGCAGUGACACUGCACAGAGAUCAGCCUUUAAGCUGCUUUCAUUCAUGAUGUGCAGCAGGAGAUUCCUCAGAGCUGACGUCCCUGGCGCUGAAUGUUAAGACGCAGGAAUCCCUCCAGUCUUGCAUGUGAUCCUGCAGAUUUGGCCUGCUGAAACUUGUGAGUUCUGCCUUCAUUCACUGCCUCAGAUUUGUGAAACACGAUCUUCACGGAUUCACAAAGUCUGAAAACCUCCCACAGCAACUGAUCCACAGCAGGAGGACAACUCUAUGGUGUGUUUGUGUGUGGUGGGGGUUAUCCUGACCUUCUGAGGGGGGGUGGUGUCACAUCCAACCUGAUAGCGGUGUGAAUGGGAAAACAGAAAAGAUGAAUACAGCAGUGGAUAAAUAGCGGAACACGGGUGUGUUAUGCUGUGGAUGCCUUCAGUCCCAGGAGAGGGCCUUCCUAACCUCAACCUUUCUUCAGCCCGAGACCUGAGAAGCAAAGGGGGAAGUCGCGCCAUCUAACAGUGUUCCUUUGAAUAGAGCAGCGCUGAAAUCCAGCAGCAUGCCUCAAAUACUUUCUGCUAGUUUUCAGUGAGAUUCGUUGCACAUGGCUGGAAACCUAAUCUGUUGGAAUAUAUCCACUUUUAAGGAUAAUUCUGGUUCUAUUUUAAGUACCCCGAAGCCUAACAUAU